Molecule: ribosomal RNA, 433 nt
Filed under: uncultured bacterium
Lineage: Bacteria
Description: partial 16S ribosomal RNA
Rfam family: Bacterial small subunit ribosomal RNA
Source: RNAcentral
AACGAACGCUGGCGGCAUGCCUAACACAUGCAAGUCGAACGAGACCUUCGGGUCUAGUGGCGCACGGGUGCGUAUCGCGCGGGAACCUGUCCUUAGGUUCGGGAUAACUCCCCGAAAGGGGUGCUAAUACAGGAUAAUGUCUUCCGACCAAAGAUUUAUCGCCCUUGGAUGGGCCCGCGUUGGAUUAGCUAGUUGGUAGGGUAAAAGCCUACCAAGGCGACGAUCCAUAGCUGGUCUGAGAGGAUGAUCAGCCACACUGGGACUGAGACACGGCCCAGACUCCUACGGGAGGCAGCAGUGGGGAAUAUUGGACAAUGGGCGAAAGCCUGAUCCAGCAAUGCCGCGUGAGUGAUGAAGGCCUUAGGGUUGUAAAGCUCUUUUACCCGGGAUGAUAAUGACAGUACCGGGAGAAUAAGCCCCGGCUAACUCCGUG